UAGGGAAUAUUGGACAAUGGGUGCAAGCCUGAUCCAGCCAUGCCGCGUGCAGGAAGAAGGCUUUCUGAGUUGUAAACUGCUUUUGCCGGGGGAUAAAAAGUCCUUGCGAGGACAAUUGAAGGUACCUGGUGAAUAAGCCACGGCUAACUACGUGCCAGCAGCCGCGGUAAUACGUAGGUGGCAAGCGUUGUCCGGAUUUAUUGGGUUUAAAGGGUGCGUAGGCGGUUCUUUAAGUCAGUGGUGAAAUACGGCAGCUUAACUGUCGAGGUGCCAUUGAUACUGGGGAACUUGAGUACUGAUGAGGUAGGCGGAAUGGACGGUGUAGCGGUGAAAUGCUUAGAUAUCGUCCAGAACACCGAUAGCGAAGGCAGCUUACUAAGGAGUAACUGACGCUGAGGCACGAAAGUGUGGGGAUCAAAC
This 420-nucleotide ribosomal RNA is filed under the name uncultured bacterium. RNAcentral's name for it is "bacterial SSU rRNA". It matches the Rfam family "Bacterial small subunit ribosomal RNA", at positions 355 to 773 of the family's 1533-position model. The record is from RNAcentral.